GCCUUCGUAGCUCAGUGGAUAGAGCAAGAGCCUUCUAAUCUCUUGGUCGUAGGUUCGAUUCCUACCGAGGGCG
This 73-nucleotide transfer RNA is filed under the name Microbacteriaceae bacterium. Its description in RNAcentral is "tRNA-Arg". It matches the Rfam family "tRNA". From Rfam's summary of the family: Transfer RNA (tRNA) molecules are approximately 80 nucleotides in length. Their secondary structure includes four short double-helical elements and three loops (D, anti-codon, and T loops). Lineage: Bacteria; Bacillati; Actinomycetota; Actinomycetes; Micrococcales; Microbacteriaceae. The record is from RNAcentral.